This 59-nucleotide transfer RNA is filed under the name Oesophagostomum asperum. RNAcentral's name for it is "tRNA-Met". Lineage: Eukaryota; Metazoa; Nematoda; Chromadorea; Rhabditida; Strongylidae. The record is from RNAcentral.
AAUAAGAUAGGAUAAUUAAGUCUAGUAGGUUCAUACCCUGCGGGUGUUUUCUCUUGUUA